CUGCGAAUGGCUCAUUAUAUAAGUUAUCGUUUAUUUGAUAGUACCUUACUACUUGGAUAACCGUGGUAAUUCUAGAGCUAAUACAUGCUAAAAAUCCCGACUUCGGAAGGGAUGUAUUUAUUAGAUUAAAAACCAAUGCCCNUCUGGGCUCUCUGGUGAUUCAUGAUAACUUCUCGAAUCGCAUGGCCUUGCGCCGGCGAUGGUUCAUUCAAAUUUCUUCCCUAUCAACUUUCGAUGUUUGGGUAGUGGCCAAACAUGGUUGCAACGGGUAACGGAGGGUUAGGGCUCGACCCCGGAGAAGGAGCCUGAGAAACGGCUACUACAUCCAAGGAAGGCAGCAGGCGCGCAAAUUACCCAAUCCCGAUUCGGGGAGGUAGUGACAAUAAAUACUGAUACAGGGCUCUUUUGGGUCUUGUAAUUGGAAUGAGUACAAUUUAAAUCCCUUAACGAGGAACAAUUGGAGGGCAAGUCUGGUGCCAGCAGCCGCGGUAAUUCCAGCUCCAAUAGCGUAUAUUAAAGUUGUUGUGGUUAAAAAGCUCGUAGUUGAACCUUGGGCCUGGCUGGCCGGUCCGCCUCACCGCGUGUACUGGUCCGGCCGGGCCUUUCCCUCUGUGGAACCCCAUGCCCUUCACUGGGUGUGGCGGGGAAACAGGACUUUUACUUUGAAAAAAUUAGAGUGCUCCAGGCAGGCCUAUGCUCGAAUACAUUAGCAUGGAAUAAUAAAAUAGGACGUGUGGUUCUAUUUUGUUGGUUUCUAGGACCGCCGUAAUGAUUAAUAGGGACAGUCGGGGGCAUCAGUAUUCAAUUGUCAGAGGUGAAAUUCUUGGAUUUAUUGAAGACUAACUACUGCGAAAGCAUUUGCCAAGGAUGUUUUCAUUAAUCAGGAACGAAAGUUAGGGGAUCGAAGACGAUCAGAUACCGUCGUAGUCUUAACCAUAAACUAUGCCGACUAGGGAUCGGACGAUGUUAUUUUNUUGACUCGUUCGGCACCUUACGAGAAAUCAAAGUGCUUGG
This 1014-nucleotide ribosomal RNA is filed under the name Metarhizium rileyi. Its description in RNAcentral is "SSU rRNA". It matches the Rfam family "Eukaryotic small subunit ribosomal RNA", at positions 87 to 1110 of the family's 1831-position model. The record is from RNAcentral. Lineage: Eukaryota; Fungi; Ascomycota; Sordariomycetes; Hypocreales; Clavicipitaceae.